GCCCCCCGCACCUCCAGCCGCCCCCGCACCCCGCACCUCCAGCCGCCCCCGCACCCCGCACCUCCAGCCGCGCCCCCGCCCCUCCUCCGAGUCCUCCCGCGUCCACUACCGAGCGCGGCUCCCAGGGGGCGCCCAGUCUCGGUGUGCCUGACGUCCUGCAGCCUGGCUGGAUGCCUCAGCCUUCAAGUAGCGGGCGGUGCCCACCGGCGGCCUCAUCGCCGACCGGCCUCGGCGGCGGCCCUGCAGCCAUCUCGGCGGCCAAGGCGAGCGGGACUGCAACCCCCUUCGGCCUUCUCGAUCUGCCUCCUCCGCUUGCAAAACUACCCACUUCUGACCCCCGGCUCUCCCCGCCUGUGUUGGAGCGCCCUGCGGAAGACUUGGGGUGGUUCUUCGGCCCGGGAAGUUCACGCCGGCCCGGGGAGGGCGAUCUUGAAGUUGGAGGGACUGGCUUGAGGCCGGGCGGAGGCUCCCUCCAGCUCCCACCUUGUCAGGAGGCCCUUGGCUCUCAGAUGAUGGUCCCCUCUGUGUGCUCGCUGCCUGAGCGCUGGCUGGCGUGAUUGUUCAGGACUUUCUCCACCGCUUUUCCCACGGCCUGUUAGGUCCUUCCCCUCUCGCAUCCCACUUCUCUACUCUGCAUCCUGCAGGUUUCUGUUUAAGUGCCGCUGCCCCAAUGAAGUCUUCCUGUAAUUCCCAGAUGAAAUUCAUUUAUUGACUCACUACAUGGUAAGCGUUAUGAGGUGUCCACUUCUGUGUUAAUUCGGUGCUUUCAGCAUCUCAUCCGAUCCUCAGAAGAAUCCUAGGAGAUAGAACCGUUUUAUAGAUGAGAAAACUGGGGACCCAGUUUCCAGAGCCCCGGAUGAGGACUACUGCAACAUCUACAAAGGGACCAAAUUCAGCCGGAUGUGUAAGCUUAGUUUGGAACAAAAACAAUUGUUUGCAAAAUUGUCCUGCAAACAUGGGUUUCCACUUUCACUUGAAAUCCUGAAAUCUAGCACUUUGGAAGGAUGGCUUAGGACCACUCAGUGGUGGUGGUUUUCUUUUUGACGGCCUGGACUAUAGGACUACAGGCCAGUUUCAGAAAUAGGUGAGAUCCCUCAGUCCCUCGAGGAACCGCUAGAAAGGAAUAAAGGGCACCUGCCUCCUUUCAGAACUAGCGGUAGCCUUGGAGUGAGCACACUGAUUCAGCAGCUGGGGCAGCCCAUUUAUCCCGCGGUCCGUUCCUGUCCUGAAGGCUGCUUGCUGCUCUCCCUUCUCCAUCUCUUCUGGAUCUCUGUAGGUGUUGGUAGCUUCUAGAUCAGCCAGGAUAGGCUAGGUUAAGUUGCAGUAACAAAGAACACCAAGUUUGGUGGCUUCUAGCAAAGGUCAUUUCUUACUCUUGCUGCAUGUCUAGUGCAGGUGGUCUGCUCCUUCCAGUCCCUCGGGGAAGAGACUCCAUCUCCAUCUGAGCUUCCAUGUGACAGUUCUGCUCCCACUGUAUUGGCCAGUCGAUAACCCGACCUAACCUCAAAGGAGUCAGAACAGCAAUGUCCCCACAGGCCUAGAAGAACUGGAACACUUGUGAGCAACCCUAAUGACAAAUACAGCUUCUUAAGAGCCCUAGGGGAAGUUCAUUGCCCCCAUAUAGAAGAUUUCCUGGGGAACAUUCACUAGGAGAUAGCUGCUGAGCGAGCUCUUCUGUUGUCCUGCGGUAUGGCAACACCCACAGGCAGGAGAGAGCAGUCUGAAAUACACCCAGCUAGAGUGGACAGGUGAACGGAAAAAUACCCCGGUGCAAGGCAGAUGCAGAGGCAUCUGCGAGUCAUCACCAAAAGCAAGGUGCCCCUUGGGGCGUCUGGGUGGCUUGGUCAGUUAAGUGUCCAACUCCUGGUUUUGGCUCAGGUCCUGGGCUCAGGGUUGUGAGAUGGAGCCCCGCGUCAGGCUCUGCACCCAGCCUGGAAUCUGCUGGAGAUGAGAUGCUGUCUUUCCUUCCCCUCUACCCCUCCCCCCUGCUCUCCCCUGCUCUCUUCUUACAUAAAUAAAGAAAUAAAAUCUUAAAAAAAAAAAAAAAAAAAGCAAGUCACCCCAAAGCUGACUGGAUCUGAUCCAUGAAGAUUCCAGAAAUGAAAUUCUCACCGAUGAGUGUGGCUUCAGGUGGCCUCUUCUCCCUCUCCCUCUGCCUCUCUCCAUCUUGUGUUCUCCGUCCCUCUGCGCUCUCUCUCUCAAAUGAUUUUUGAAAAAAUCUUUUAAAAAAUAAAAUAAAACCAAGGGCUCCUGGGUCCCUCUGUCGGUUGGGCUCUUUUGGCUCAGGUCAUGAUCUCCGGCUCCCUGAUCAGCAGGGAGUCUGGUUCACUCUCUCUCCCUCUGCCCUCCCCACAGCUCGUCCUCUCUCUCUCUCUCUCUCUCUCUCAUAAAUAAAUAAAAUCUUAAGAAAUAAAAACAAA
Molecule: long non-coding RNA, 2420 nt
Organism: Mustela lutreola (European mink)
Lineage: Eukaryota; Metazoa; Chordata; Mammalia; Carnivora; Mustelidae
Exons: 2
Source: RefSeq, a predicted model, not a curated record